This 429-nucleotide ribosomal RNA is filed under the name uncultured Moraxellaceae bacterium. RNAcentral's name for it is "bacterial SSU rRNA". It matches the Rfam family "Bacterial small subunit ribosomal RNA", at positions 355 to 776 of the family's 1533-position model. Lineage: Bacteria; Pseudomonadati; Pseudomonadota; Gammaproteobacteria; Moraxellales; Moraxellaceae. The record is from RNAcentral.
UGGGGAAUAUUGGACAAUGGGGGCAACCCUGAUCCAGCCAUGCCGCGUGUGUGAAGAAGGCCUUCGGGUUGUAAAGCACUUUAAGCGAGGAGGAAGGUCUUUGAACUAAUAUUUCAAAGAAUUGACGUUACUCGCAGAAUAAGCACCGGCUAACUCUGUGCCAGCAGCCGCGGUAAUACAGAGGGUGCAAGCGUUAAUCGGAAUUACUGGGCGUAAAGCGCGCGUAGGCGGUAUGUUAAGUCGGAUGUGAAAUCCCUGGGCUCAACCUAGGCAUUGCAUCCGAUACUGGCACACUAGAGUGUGGGAGAGGAAGGUAGAAUUCCAGGUGUAGCGGUGAAAUGCGUAGAGAUCUGGAGGAAUACCGAUGGCGAAGGCAGCCUUCUGGCCUAACACUGACGCUGAGGUGCGAAAGCAUGGGGAGCAAACAGG